CUCAUAAAUGUUACAAUGUUGGAUAGUCUUGCAUUUUUGGUGUGAGCUUGCACGCCAUUUUUGGAUGCCUCUCUUCGCAGGGUUUAGCAUCAGGCUGCGUUGUGAUGUCACCACAAGGUGGAGGGGGAGGAGCUAUUCAUCAGGCUGUGAGGAAACACAAUAAAGGGAAGCCAUGGAGGAGCCAAGAAAGUCGCAGCUGCCUCUUUGACAGCUGCAGGAAGAACAACACAAGCUCUGAUCAUGUUUACGCUGUCCAUAACGUUCCUACUUGUGUGGAUUCUUCAUUCAUCACUUUAACCAAUGUUU
Long non-coding RNA from Nerophis ophidion (straightnose pipefish), 306 nucleotides. RefSeq lists it as uncharacterized. The transcript is spliced from 3 exons. NCBI's taxonomy places the organism in Eukaryota, Metazoa, Chordata, Actinopteri, Syngnathiformes, Syngnathidae. The record is from RefSeq and is a predicted model, not a curated record.